GGGUGUGACAAUACCAGCACUAAUGCAUAGGAUCCCAUCAGGAUUCUGUAGUUUAGCGUGCUUGCGGGAUAGUAGUACUAUGAUGGGUGACCUUCUGGGAAGUCCUCGUUUUGCACCUU
This is a non-coding RNA of Gossypium hirsutum (cotton), 119 nucleotides long. The record is from Rfam. Lineage: Eukaryota; Viridiplantae; Streptophyta; Magnoliopsida; Malvales; Malvaceae.